CCUACGGGGGGCUGCAGUGGGGAAUAUUGGACAAUGGGGGCAACCCUGAUCCAGCCAUGCCGCGUGUGUGAAGAAGGCCCUCGGGUUGUAAAGCACUUUCAGUGAGGAAGAACGCCUGGUGGUUAAUACCCAUCAGGAAAGACAUCACUCACAGAAGAAGCACCGGCUAACUCCGUGCCAGCAGCCGCGGUAAUACGGAGGGUGCGAGCGUUAAUCGGAAUUACUGGGCGUAAAGCGCGCGUAGGUGGCUUGAUAAGCCGGUUGUGAAAGCCCCGGGCUCAACCUGGGAACGGCAUCCGGAACUGUCAAGCUAGAGUGCAGGAGAGGAAGGGAGAAUUCCCGGUGUAGCGGUGAAAUGCGUAGAGAUCGGGAGGAAUACCAGUGGCGAAGGCGGCCUUCUGGACUGACACUGACACUGAGGUGCGAAAGCGUGGGUAGCAAACAGGAUUAGAUACCCGUGUAGUC
This 465-nucleotide ribosomal RNA is filed under the name Vreelandella stevensii. RNAcentral's name for it is "partial 16S ribosomal RNA". It matches the Rfam family "Bacterial small subunit ribosomal RNA", at positions 338 to 795 of the family's 1533-position model. The record is from RNAcentral. Lineage: Bacteria; Pseudomonadati; Pseudomonadota; Gammaproteobacteria; Oceanospirillales; Halomonadaceae.